GGGGGAGAAAAUUGCUCAAGGCUUCUUAUUGGAAGAGGAUCACUACUGCAAGGAGCUAAGACCCAGGCCUCCCAACAGGGUUCAUUAUACCCACGAUAGCCACAUCUCCACAUAUAGAUCUUUCUAAAUUCAAAAUAAGACAGGACUUUGAAGGAAUUGAUUAGGGUUGUGUGCACAAAGCUUCCUAUUGGCAAAUACAUUACACAGGUGGAGGGUACCCUCCACGACUCGGGCCCUGGGUUGUCCUGGGUGAUGUGCUUGUAGUAGUUUCUCUCUAGCUGUCUCUCCCUAAGAAUCAUUAAUACUGACUUCACUAUCCUGAGCUUCUACAUAAAUAACUCUGCUCUUCCUGGGCCCACCCCAGAGCUCCUUUUUUUUUCCCUCAGCUCACCUCCACUUGCCUCAUCCAAAGGGAGUCGCCGAUACCAGCUGGGCAUCAUCCACCUGUGCAUCCCAGCCUCCUGGGGCACAGUGUCCCCUUCAGGAGGCUUUUGCACAGACUGUCCCUUUGCCUGGGCAACUCCUCAGCAUCCUUCAAGAUUCAACUUGGGAUCCUCUCCUCUGAGAAGAAGACAAGUCUCCCCUGUGCUCACCACCCUCCCCCUCUGCAGUUGGGAUGAAGAACCACUUCUGGGGGCUCUCCCAGUGCUUGGGUUUCCACAUGCACAGUGAGUACACUCAUCUGUCUCCUUACUGGCCCCUCCCCACAUGCACACUCAGGUCUGCACACCUUAAAGGCAGAGAUGAUGUCUACUUUACCUCUGUGCCUUAUUUUGACUCGAGUUCGGAAAUUUUGUGUUAAGUAGAGGAGGAAAGGAAUGACAUCCCUCUAGGGCUUCAAGUGAGAGAGCCAAUAGAAAGCAUAACACGGGGAGAGAGGACAAGAUAGCGGAGGAGUAGGGGGACACGCUCGCCCUCUCCCACAAACACAACAAAAAAAGCACAUCUACAGAAUAAAUGACUUGCACAGAACAGCAAUCAAUCGCUGGCAGAGGAACCUAAACUCCAAUAACGGCAAAGAAGUUCGUGACAUUACUGGGCAGAACAGGAGAAGAGAGGAGAGUGAGAGAAGGUGAAUCUGAGCGGGAUGGGCGCUCCCGAAAGGGAACUGCGGAGGAGAAAGGGAUCCCGCACCCUGGAAAGUCACCUACACGGGGGAAAGAUCAAACGAACCGGAGGAAUCUCCAGAUGCAGAGAAGAGUGUAGCAGU
This 1210-nucleotide long non-coding RNA is filed under the name Sus scrofa (pig). RNAcentral's name for it is "lncRNA (ENSSSCG00025022302.1)". Lineage: Eukaryota; Metazoa; Chordata; Mammalia; Artiodactyla; Suidae. The record is from RNAcentral.